Molecule: ribosomal RNA, 492 nt
Filed under: uncultured bacterium
Lineage: Bacteria
Description: partial 16S ribosomal RNA
Rfam family: Bacterial small subunit ribosomal RNA
Source: RNAcentral
AGUGAACGCUGGCGGUAGGCCUAACACAUGCAAGUCGAACGGCAGCACAGUAAGAGCUUGCUCUUACGGGUGGCGAGUGGCGGACGGGUGAGGAAUACAUCGGAAUCUACUUUUUCGUGGGGGAUAACGUAGGGAAACUUACGCUAAUACCGCAUACGACCUACGGGUGAAAGCAGGGGAUCUUCGGACCUUGCGCGAUUGAAUGAGCCGAUGUCGGAUUAGCUAGUUGGCGGGGUAAAGGCCCACCAAGGCGACGAUCCGUAGCUGGUCUGAGAGGAUGAUCAGCCACACUGGAACUGAGACACGGUCCAGACUCCUAAGGGAGGCAACAGUGGGGAAUAUUGGACAAUGGGCGCAAGCCUGAUCCAGCCAUACCGCGUGGGUGAAGAAGGCCUUCGGGUUGUAAAGCCCUUUUGUUGGGAAAGAAAAGCAGCAGGUUAAUACCCCGCUGUUCUGACGGUACCCAAAGAAUAAGCACCGGCUAACUUCGUG